RNAcentral lists this ribosomal RNA (500 nucleotides) under uncultured bacterium. RNAcentral describes it as "bacterial SSU rRNA". It matches the Rfam family "Bacterial small subunit ribosomal RNA", at positions 21 to 507 of the family's 1533-position model. The record is from RNAcentral.
GGCUCAGAGUAGAACGCGUGGCGGCAGGACCUAACACAUGCAAGUCGAACGGCAGCACAGUGGAGCUUGCUCCAGUGGGUGGCGAGUGGCGGACGGGUGAGGAUACAUCGGAAUCUGCCCAGUCGUGGGGGAUAACAUAGGGAAACUUAUGCUAAUACCGCAUACGACCUACGGGUGAAAGCGGGGGAUCGCAAGACCUCGCGCGAUUGGAUGAGCCGAUGUCCGAUUAGCUAGUUGGCGGGGUAAUGGCCCACCAAGGCGACGAUCGGUAGCUGGUCUGAGAGGAUGAUCAGCCACACUGGAACUGAGACACGGUCCAGACUCCUACGGGAGGCAGCAGUGGGGAAUAUUGGACAAUGGGCGCAAGCCUGAUCCAGCCAUGCCGCGUGGGUGAAGAAGGCCUUCGGGUUGUAAAGCCCUUUUGUCCGGAAAGAAACGCCUCGGAUUAAUACUCUGGGGUAAUGACGGUACCGGAAGAAUAAGCACCGGCUAACUUCGUG